RNAcentral lists this ribosomal RNA (255 nucleotides) under uncultured bacterium. Its description in RNAcentral is "partial 16S ribosomal RNA". It matches the Rfam family "Bacterial small subunit ribosomal RNA", at positions 99 to 354 of the family's 1533-position model. The record is from RNAcentral.
CGGACGGGUGAGUAACGCGUGGAAAACCUGCCGUAUACUGGGGGAUAACACUUAGAAAUAGGUGCUAAUACCGCAUAAGCGCACAGCUUCGCAUGAAGCGGUGUGAAAAACUCUGGUGGUAUACGAUGGUUCCGCGUCUGAUUAGCUAGUUGGUGGGGUAAUGGCCUACCAAGGCAACGAUCAGUAGCCGGCCUGAGAGGGUGAACGGCCACAUUGGGACUGAGACGCGGCCCAAACUCCUACGGAAGGCAGCAG